AGCAGCCGCGGUAAUUCCAGCUCCAAUAGCGUAUAUUAAAGUUGUUGCAGUUAAAAAGCUCGUAGUUGAAUUUCGGGAUCAAUUUGCUGGUCGUGCCUCUGGUACGUACUGGUAUUAUUGGUUUCUCCCUUCUGACGAACCAUGAUGUCAUUAAUUUGAUGUCGUGGAGAAUCAGGACUGUUACUUUGAAAAAUUAGAGUGUUUAAAGCAGGCAUUAGCUUGAAUACAUUAGCAUGGAAUAAUGAAAUAGGACGUUUGAUCCUAUUUUGUUGGUUUCUAGGAUUGACGUAAUGAUUAAUAGGGAUAGUUGGGGGCAUUAGUAUUCAAUUGUCAGAGGUGAAAUUCUUGGAUUUAUUGAAGACUAACUACUGCGAAAGCAUUUGCCAAGGAUGUUUUCAUUAAUCAAGAACGAAAGUUAGGGGAUCGAAGACGAUCAGAUACCGUCGUAGUCUUAACCAUAAACUAUGCCGACUAGGGAUCGGAUGAUGUUAAUUUUUAAUGUA
This 503-nucleotide ribosomal RNA is filed under the name uncultured Glomus. RNAcentral's name for it is "SSU rRNA". It matches the Rfam family "Eukaryotic small subunit ribosomal RNA", at positions 569 to 1078 of the family's 1831-position model. Lineage: Eukaryota; Fungi; Glomeromycota; Glomeromycetes; Glomerales; Glomeraceae. The record is from RNAcentral.